AUUUUAAUUUAAUAAUUUUUCAUUUUAGUUAGUUGCUCCCUUGUAAGAAGUUAUAUAGUGAUAAUUUGAUAUAUUGAUAAUUAAAAUAAAAAUGAUUUAAUUAAAGAUAAUUAAAAUUAAAAUGAUUUAAUUAAAGGAGAUGAUGAAAAGGUUAUAUAGUGAUAAUUUGAUAUAUUGAUAAUUCAAAUUAAAAUGAUUUAAUUAAAGAUAAUUAACAUUAAAAUGAUUUAAUUAAAGAAGAUGAUGAAAAAGUUUUUUAAUAGAGAUUGUAAACUUUUCUUAUAGAGUGCCACAUCAUCAAAAUACUUGAUUGUGAGCAACUCAACAUUCCUUUUACUUGUAAAAGAUAUGGAUAUGCUAACUGUAACACCCCAACUAAAUUGUCUAGAAUAUUUAGUCGAGAUAUUAAUAAUUGAAUCUGAGUACAUUAAAAUUUACAGAAUAAUUAAUCGAAUUACAAAUUAUCACGAGAAUAAUGUGAUAAUCAAUACAACACAGUUGAAAUGAUGACUGAAAUCUUAAUAACAGAUUAACAAAAAACAAAGAAGAAGACGAUAGUCUUCUAAUCCGAUAAUCCAAGCUCAACCUCGAUCAUCAGUUCCUGCCUGGUCCUUGCUCCGAUUAACCUGUUUACCUAAAAAAAAUUGAGAGUCGUGGGAUGAGACUACUAAGCCUCAGUGAGCUCCUACUACCCAACUACUGGUGACUACACUGGGGCAACUGAAACUAAUAGUUUCUAACUUUAACCUGAACCUGAAUAUCUAAUAGUCUAAUCCUAACAUAAUCCUGAAGUUUUCAUAAUAUGAUAAUAAAAAAAUAAAGGUGUAACACACAUAAUAAUUAUCUUGUCAAUUUUAUCAUAACAGGAUCACCCCGGGGUAAGCCGGUCCCGGAGUGCCUGGCCUGGUAUUACCGAUAAUAAUGUACGGCGAAAUACAACAUGAGCUUAUAGUUCUUAUUACAUGAUUUUGGAUUCUUAAUGAAUCCCCUGACAUGGUACUAAUGACCACGCUUCCUGAUAUUGGUACUAAUGACCAAANNNNNNNNNNNNNNNNNNNNNNNNNNNNNNNNNNNNNNNNNNNNNNNNNNNNNNNNNNNNNNNNNNNNNNNNNNNNNNNNNNNNNAAAAGAAAGAAAACCUUCCCGGGGUAAUUCUAACUGUCCUGAUUCCUGAACCUAAGUUCCUGAGCGUGAUAAACAUUCUAAUCACAUAAUAUUAUUACGCUGCUUACGAAAUAUUCCAGAAUAGUCAGGGAUAUAAAAAAGAGUGGAUUCUUAUUUAAAAUGUUGAUUCUACAAAGUCCUAAUCUGAUGCGCUCGCUUAGCGAAGCAAGAUGCUCGCUAUGCGAGAAUGCCAGUUCAAUUCUCAGUUUUUACUUUUAAAAGAGUUUAUCAGUUUCCACCUACAAUCCCAUUCAUGUCCAGUCAUAAGCAACUAAAAUAUUAUUAUAUAAUUAGAAUGGAGAUGGUUUUGGGAUUAAACCUUCUCACACAAUUAUUUCAUAAUUUUUCCUAUUGUUGUCAUGCAUAAUUUUGGGGAGACUAAUUUCCUAACUAAUACUAAUGUUAUCAUACAUAUAUUGAAUUUAGGGAAACUAAAGGUGCUAACUAAUCUAAAAGUUAAGCUUCUAAAGGAACCCACCUGAAUUUGAUGCUUUAACAGUACCAUUGACACAUCCGGAGUUUGCUGAAAAACAGAAAUUGCAGCCACAACACUUCAAACCCGUAGCCCAAAAUUCUGCAUCAGACCCUGAACUUCAGAUGCGUCUCCUGAACUCAAUACUGCUCCAAAAUUCAUGAAAUUGGCGUCGAAACGACCGUACAUUCGUUAGUUAACCGUAGAAACAAACUCCAUACGAAACAGAUGUACAGAGAGUGAACAGUCACCGUUUUAGUGAGACCCUGUCCAGAAACACGAUUUUUGCACAGCCAUUCCAAUUCCUCUUGUUUUCUUAUUUCACCCAUCAAUUCUUAACUCCUCCCAAGUGCUCCAAGUUCAGUAAUUAGGAACAUGCAAUUACACCAAGAAGGACUUAGAGUCUAACAUAACCAAGAAAGAAAAGAAGAUGAGUUUGAUUCCUCUUACCUUAGAUUCCUAGUAACCCAAAGGCUUGAACUUGAGUAGGAUCUUUCACAUGCAAAUAUGAAUUUGAAGAAACUGAGUUUGGGGUUUAGGCUUGUUGUUUGGAUUUCGACCAAAUCAAAAGGAAUAGGGAAUAGAAGACUAAGAUGAGUUUCUCUCGUGAACUUUAGUGAGGGAAUUUAAUUUAGGGUUCUGAUGAAACAAAGGGGAAAGGAAUAGGUUGAAUUUCUCUCAUAUACCUUGAUUACCCAACAACAUACAAUGGUGGAAGGAAGCUUUAAUGGACACAUGCAUAGUCUCAUUGAAGAAUUAGAUGAACUUGACCAAUGAGAGAGAGGAUUUCGGCCAAGCUAAGGAAAAAGGGAAGAUUGGAGUUUCAAACAUCUUCUAUUAAUUUCUAAGAUUAAGGGUUAAUGUUUGAUGCUACAUGCAAAGCUUAAAACUUACACAAAGUGAGAAAGAUGGAGUAUGUAUGGGUUGCUUGUUCUGUUUGUUUUUCUAGAGAGAAAGAUGAAGAUGAGUAGUUGAAGAGAGAGAGCACGUGAGCUUUGAAGGAAAAGAGGAGGAGAUGAAACUGAUUUAUUCUCUUUCUUGACUUAACUUGUUAUAUACUAGUGGUUGUCUAGUUUCAAUAAAGGUUUGGGUCCAUUAUUUCUAGUGUUGGUGUUGUUGUUUUUGACGUGGGAGAAGAGAGAAAGUUUGCUGACAAUU
This 2793-nucleotide long non-coding RNA is filed under the name Trifolium pratense (red clover). RNAcentral describes it as "long non-coding RNA (TPRA_LNC009594)". Lineage: Eukaryota; Viridiplantae; Streptophyta; Magnoliopsida; Fabales; Fabaceae. The record is from RNAcentral.